CCUCUCCCCUCUCCUUCCCCGUGGCCGCGGCGGCGCGGGACUCGCUCACAGAUGAUUUCCGACUCACCUCGUUCCCCAGCGUCUGUUUACCCCUGCCCCCCUAAAACACGCACACGCGCGCUGGGCCCCGCAGACCCGGCAGCGGCGGAAGCACGAGUUUCCGUGGGAUGCGCGUCGACCCGCACGUGCCUCUCGGGGAACCGCGGCCGCCGGGGGCCCCCAGCCGGCAUGCGGACUUGAAUGCGCACUGAGUUGCCGGUGUCGCGGGCGGAGUUCGGGUUUUCACCCCCACCGCACCAACCCCAUCCGGCUUCUUUCAGGUUCACCGAGGGAUCCACGAAGGGUGAGAAGCAGAGGUGAGCCAGGACCGUGGGCUGUCAUGGGAACCAGCUUGCAAGUUCCAGGAGGGCGAGUUGAGGCCUCUCCCAGGACUGCCACUGACCUGUGGUGCGGCCGGCUCCAGGUCAUCACACUGGCCCACCACCAUGGUGCCACCUCUUCUCCAGCCAGGGCAGCAUUUCAUUCAGAGAAGAUCAUUUAAAAUGCUGCACCGAGGACCUGCACU
Molecule: non-coding RNA, 565 nt
Organism: Vicugna pacos (alpaca)
Lineage: Eukaryota; Metazoa; Chordata; Mammalia; Artiodactyla; Camelidae
Source: RefSeq, a predicted model, not a curated record